GGCCAGACUCCUAGGGAGGCAGCAGUGGGGAAUAUUGCACAAUGGGGGGAACCCUGAUGCAGCGAUGCCGCGUGGAGGAAGAAGGUUUUCGGAUUGUAAACUCCUUUUAUCAGGGACGAUAAUGACGGUACCUGAAGAAAAAGCUCCGGCUAACUACGUGCCAGCAGCCGCGGUAAUACGUAGGGGGCAAGCGUUAUCCGGAUUUACUGGGUGUAAAGGGAGCGUAGACGGCAGCGCAAGUCUGGAGUGAAAUGCCGGGGCCCAACCCCGGAACUGCUCUGGAAACUGUGAAGCUGGAGUGCAGGAGAGGUAAGCGGAAUUCCUGGUGUAGCGGUGAAAUGCGUAGAUAUCAGGAGGAACACCGGCGGCGAAGGCGGCCUACUGGACUGUAACUGACGUUGAGGCUCGAAGGCGUGGGGAGCAAACAGGAUUAGAUACCCCGGUAC
RNAcentral lists this ribosomal RNA (446 nucleotides) under uncultured bacterium. RNAcentral describes it as "bacterial SSU rRNA". It matches the Rfam family "Bacterial small subunit ribosomal RNA", at positions 329 to 793 of the family's 1533-position model. The record is from RNAcentral.